RNAcentral lists this ribosomal RNA (252 nucleotides) under uncultured bacterium. Its description in RNAcentral is "partial 16S ribosomal RNA". It matches the Rfam family "Bacterial small subunit ribosomal RNA", at positions 334 to 580 of the family's 1533-position model. The record is from RNAcentral.
GAUCUACGGGAGGCAGCAGUAGGGAAUCUUCCACAAUGGACGAAAGUCUGAUGGAGCAACGCCGCGUGAGUGAAGAAGGGUUUCGGCUCGUAAAGCCCUGUUGGUAGUGAAGAAAGAUAGAGGUAGUAACUGGCCUUUAUUUGACGGUAAUUACUUAGAAAGUCACGGCUAACUACGUGCCAGCAGCCGCGGUAAUACGUAGGUGGCAAGCGUUUUCCGGAUUUUUUGGGCGUAAAGCGAGUGCAGGCGGCU